RNAcentral lists this ribosomal RNA (523 nucleotides) under [Candida] sp. HNK-4a. RNAcentral's name for it is "eukaryotic LSU rRNA". It matches the Rfam family "Eukaryotic large subunit ribosomal RNA", at positions 113 to 652 of the family's 3401-position model. The record is from RNAcentral. Lineage: Eukaryota; Fungi; Ascomycota; Saccharomycetes; Saccharomycetales.
AUUUGAAAUCUGGCUCUUUCAGAGUCCGAGUUGUAAUUUGAAGAAGGUAUCUUUGGGUCUGGCUCUUGUCUAUGUUUCUUGGAACAGAACGUCACAGAGGGUGAGAAUCCCGUGCGAUGAGAUGAUCCAGGCCUAUGUAAAGUUCCUUCGAAGAGUCGAGUUGUUUGGGAAUGCAGCUCUAAGUGGGUGGUAAAUUCCAUCUAAAGCUAAAUAUUGGCGAGAGACCGAUAGCGAACAAGUACAGUGAUGGAAAGAUGAAAAGAACUUUGAAAAGAGAGUGAAAAAGUACGUGAAAUUGUUGAAAGGGAAGGGCUUGAGAUCAGACUUGGUAUUUUGUAUGUUACUUCUUCGGGGGUGGCCUCUACAGUUUAUCGGGCCAGCAUCAGUUUGGGCGGUAGGAGAAUUGCGUUGGAAUGUGGCACGGCUUCGGUUGUGUGUUAUAGCCUUCGUCGAUACUGCCAGCCUAGACUGAGGACUGCGGUUUAUACCUAGGAUGUUGGCAUAAUGAUCUUAAGUCGCCCGU